AUGUACCACUCGUACACUGCGGCUCCUGCGCGCCGCCCGCCCCCAGCUGACCCCCGCUCGCUACGUUUUUAGUU
Molecule: small RNA, 74 nt
Filed under: Xanthomonas hortorum
Lineage: Bacteria; Pseudomonadati; Pseudomonadota; Gammaproteobacteria; Lysobacterales; Lysobacteraceae
Also listed under: 1 other name
Description: sX9 sRNA
Rfam family: Xanthomonas sRNA sX9
Source: RNAcentral